RNAcentral lists this ribosomal RNA (403 nucleotides) under Fusobacteriota bacterium. RNAcentral's name for it is "Fusobacteria bacterium partial 16S ribosomal RNA". It matches the Rfam family "Bacterial small subunit ribosomal RNA", at positions 355 to 776 of the family's 1533-position model. Lineage: Bacteria; Fusobacteriati; Fusobacteriota. The record is from RNAcentral.
UGGGGAAUUUUGCACAAUGGAGGAAACUCUGAUGCAGCGACGCCGCGUGAGUGAUGAAGAUCUUCGGAUUGUAAAACUCUGUCCUUAGUGAAGAUAAUGACAGUAACUAAGAAGCAAGCCCUGGCUAAAUACGUGCCAGCAGCCGCGGUAAUACGUAUGGGGCAAGCGUUGUCCGGAAUUAUUGGGCGUAAAGGGUACGUAGGCGGUUUAAUAAGUCCUAAUUAAAAGGCUAUGGCUCAACCAUAGUAUGGUUAGGAAACUGUUGAACUUGAGUAGAUGAGGGGAAAGUGGAAUUCCAUGUGUAGCGGUGAAAUGCGUGGAUAUAUGGAGGAACACCAAUGGCGAAGGCAACUUUCUGGAAUCAAACUGACGCUGAGGUACGAAGGCGUGGGGAGCAAACAGG